GAUGAACGCUGGCGGCGUGCCUAAUACAUGCAAGUCGAACGAAAAGAGGAGCUUGCUUCUCUUUUAGUGGCGAACGGGUGAGUAAUACAUAAGCAACCUACCUAUUUGACCGGGAUAACAGUUGGAAACGACUGCUAAUACCGGAUAGGUGCGCGGGGGACAUCCCCUGCACAUUAAAGCUGGGACACAGCACGAAUGGAUGGGCUUAUGGCGCAUUAGUUAGUUGGCGGGGUAACGGCCCACCAAGACGAUGAUGCGUAGCCGACCUGAGAGGGUGACCGGCCACACUGGGACUGAGACACGGCCCAGACUCCUACGGGAGGCAG
This 326-nucleotide ribosomal RNA is filed under the name uncultured Bacillota bacterium. RNAcentral describes it as "bacterial SSU rRNA". It matches the Rfam family "Bacterial small subunit ribosomal RNA", at positions 28 to 351 of the family's 1533-position model. Lineage: Bacteria; Bacillati; Bacillota. The record is from RNAcentral.